Pelobates cultripes (western spadefoot toad) is the source of this 230-nucleotide non-coding RNA. NCBI's taxonomy places the organism in Eukaryota, Metazoa, Chordata, Amphibia, Anura, Pelobatidae. The record is from the annotation of a GenBank genome assembly.
GUGAGAGUGCUGUGUGUGUUAAAGUGCUGUGUGUGAUGGGUGUGAGAGUGCUGUGUGAGAGAGAGUGCUGUGUGUGUGUGAGAGUGCUGUGUGUGAUGGGUGUGAGAGUGCUGUGUGAGAGAGAGUGCUGUGUGUGUGUGAGAGUGCUGUGUGUGAUGGGUGUGAGAGAGUGCUGUGUGUGAUGGGUGUGAGAGUGCUGUAUAAAUGUUAUUGUGUGUAUGUAGGGGGGG